This is a non-coding RNA of Erinaceus europaeus (western European hedgehog), 134 nucleotides long. The record is from Rfam. Lineage: Eukaryota; Metazoa; Chordata; Mammalia; Eulipotyphla; Erinaceidae.
CUGCAGCCAAUUAAGCCAACCGUGCUUCCCUCCCCAUGGGGCCCUCUGUGCAGUGGCUACAAAUAGCACCCUCCUGGGCCGUGUCUGCAGCCUGUUCCUUAUACAGGUUGUCCUACAGGAUCCUGGAGCCAGCC